RNAcentral lists this small RNA (120 nucleotides) under unclassified sequences. Its description in RNAcentral is "LOOT RNA". It matches the Rfam family "LOOT RNA". From Rfam's summary of the family: Latescibacteria, OD1/Parcubacteria, OP11, TM7. The record is from Rfam by way of RNAcentral.
AGCCUAAACCUUUGGAAACAAAGGCAUGGUGAAAGAAAACUGCAACAGUAAUAAAGAACCCAUCAUAUGGGGCACUGUUGCAGUCAUAUCGGGAAACCGAUAUGGGGAGCGAAAGCUCUC